Picea glauca (white spruce) is the source of this 121-nucleotide non-coding RNA. The record is from Rfam. NCBI's taxonomy places the organism in Eukaryota, Viridiplantae, Streptophyta, Pinopsida, Pinales, Pinaceae.
ACAUGGCUGCAACAUAGCGUUAAUGCAUCAGAUACCAUUAGAACUCUGCAGUUAAGCAUGAUCAGGCUAUAUUAGUACUGGGAUGGGUGACCACCCAAGAAGUCCUAGUGUUUUACAUGUC